UUUUGGGUGAAAAAGUUGAAACCCUUAUUGGAGUUAUUGGAGGAUCACAGCCUUUCCCAAAAUUUGAAAUUCUUGAUGAAUGGGAGGAAACAACAAAAUAGAGUCAUGACUCAUGAUUUCAUCUUGCAAAGAGCAUGAAGUCUGGAAAUUAGAUCGGCCAGUUAAAAGGUGAUUAUCAAACAAAUUCUCCAUACAUAAUCAAGGUGGAACUGCUAGCUGCUAAGAAUCUCAUUGCUGCUAAUCUGAAUGGCACAUCAGAUCCAUAUGCAAUUGUCACCUGUGGGACACAAAA
Ipomoea triloba (trilobed morning glory) is the source of this 292-nucleotide long non-coding RNA. RefSeq lists it as uncharacterized. NCBI's taxonomy places the organism in Eukaryota, Viridiplantae, Streptophyta, Magnoliopsida, Solanales, Convolvulaceae. The record is from RefSeq and is a predicted model, not a curated record. The transcript is spliced from 3 exons.